GACGAACGCUGGCGGCGUGCUUAACACAUGCAAGUCGAACGGAAAGGCCCUGCUUGCAGGGUACUCGAGUGGCGAACGGGUGAGUAACACGUGGGUGAUCUGCCCUGCACUUCGGGAUAAGCCUGGGAAACUGGGUCUAAUACCGGAUAGGAGCCAUUUUUAGUGUGAUGGUUGGAAAGUUUUUUCGGUGUAGGAUGAGCUCGCGGCCUAUCAGCUUGUUGGUGGGGUAAUGGCCUACCAAGGCGGCGACGGGUAGCCGGCCUGAGAGGGUGGACGGCCAAAUUGGGACUGAGAUCCGGCCCAGCCUCCUACGGGGGGCAGCAGGGGGGAAUAUUGCAAAAUGGGCGCAAGCCUGAGGCAGCGACCCCGGGUGGGGGAUGACGGCCUUCGGUUUGUAAACCCCUUUCGCUAGGGACGAAGUUUUUUGUGACGGUACCUAGAUAAGAAGCCCCGGCUAACUACGU
This 464-nucleotide ribosomal RNA is filed under the name uncultured bacterium. RNAcentral's name for it is "partial 16S ribosomal RNA". It matches the Rfam family "Bacterial small subunit ribosomal RNA", at positions 28 to 506 of the family's 1533-position model. The record is from RNAcentral.